AGCGAACGCUGGCGGCAGGCUUAACACAUGCAAGUCGAGCGGGCACUUCGGUGUCAGCGGCAGACGGGUGAGUAACACGUGGGAACGUACCCUUUGGUUCGGAAUAACGCUGGGAAACUAGCGCUAAUACCUGAUACGCCCUUUUGGGGAAAGGCUUGCUGCCGAAGGAUCGGCCCGCGUCUGAUUAGCUAGUUGGUGGGGUAAUGGCCUACCAAGGCGACGAUCAGUAGCUGGUCUGAGAGGAUGAUCAGCCACACUGGGACUGAGACACGGCCCAGACUCCUACGGGAGGCAGCAGUGGGGAAUAUUGGACAAUGGGCGCAAGCCUGAUCCAGCCAUGCCGCGUGAGUGAUGAAGGCCUUAGGGUUGUAAAGCUCUUUUGUCCGGGACGAUAAUGACGGUACCGGAAGAAUAAGCCCCGGCUAACUUCGUG
Molecule: ribosomal RNA, 433 nt
Filed under: uncultured bacterium
Lineage: Bacteria
Description: partial 16S ribosomal RNA
Rfam family: Bacterial small subunit ribosomal RNA
Source: RNAcentral